This 289-nucleotide ribosomal RNA is filed under the name uncultured bacterium. Its description in RNAcentral is "partial 16S ribosomal RNA". It matches the Rfam family "Bacterial small subunit ribosomal RNA", at positions 773 to 1060 of the family's 1533-position model. The record is from RNAcentral.
GUGGAUUAGAUACCCUGGUAGUCCACGCUGUAAACGAUGGAUACUUGUUGUUAGAGGUAUUGACCCCUCUAGUGACGCAGCUAACGCGUUAAGUAUCCCGCCUGGGGAGUACGGUCGCAAGAUUAAAACUCAAAGAAAUUGACGGGGGCCCGCACAAGCGGUGGAGCAUGUGGUUUAAUUCGAUGCAACGCGAAGAACCUUACCCGGGCUUGACAUGAACUGGAAGAGUGGCAGAGAUGUCCUCGCUCGCAAGAGUCGGUUCACAGGUGCUGCACGGCGGUCGUCAGCU